This is a long non-coding RNA of Fukomys damarensis (Damara mole-rat), 2293 nucleotides long. RefSeq lists it as uncharacterized. The record is from RefSeq and is a predicted model, not a curated record. The transcript has 3 exons. Lineage: Eukaryota; Metazoa; Chordata; Mammalia; Rodentia; Bathyergidae.
GAGGGCACCACCUAGAGGGUGGGCGGAGUAUCGCAGCGGAGGGAUUUCCGGUUGGGGCCCUGGCGGAAGAGGCCGGUGGUACAGAGUGAGCAGAACACUGACCCCCAGCGCGGGCCAGGGUCCAGACAGAGUCUUGCUAAAUUGUCCACCCUGGACUUGAACCUCAACCCUCCUGUUUCGGCCUCCAGAGUAGCUGAGAUUACAGGCGUGUACCGCCAUGCCCGGCCCACUGAGUCACGAGUGAGGACCGAGUGAGGACGUCGGAAGCCAGUCAGCUUUCCAUGGAGGGCGGCAGGUCCCCGAUGCAGGGACAUCUGCAGAGAGCCUGUCUCCAACUUAGCUUCUGGAUGGCUUUGGGCUGAGUAGGGCAAAACACUCUGCCACCCUCUGUGAGAGCAAAUGUACCACUUGUGUCUUCAAAAUCUGCUCAUUCGCUCAUCUUUUCGUGCUACUGGGGAUGGAGCCCAAGGCUUGAAUACGCUAGACAAGUGCUCACCACUGAGCUACUCCACCGGCCCUUCCUGUCUUAUUUUUCAUUGAGAGAACCACCGUGUUUUACCCUUUUAUUCAUCAAUGGAUAAUCUUAAAUAAUUUUAAUUACCUGACAUUUAAGUAAAAUUACAGUUCAAUUUUGGUAUCACAUAGAUCUAUAGUGCUCUGAGUUUUGAUGCACUAAUUUUCAGCGUUUCGUCGUUUUCUGCUUGGAGCUGCACCUCCGUGGGGUGCGGAAGGGUGAAGAGGAUGCCUCUCUUUUGGUGUCCGGAGUCAGACCGCAAAGGCUGGAGGGAUGGGUGGAGAGGGUAUCGGUGGGGUCACAGCCGAGGAAUCCGAGGCACUGCGGGGUGGUGGGGUGGUUCCGGGCACAGAGCUGACACAGCCCCAGGCGGGCCUCACACCCACAAGAGGUGACUGAGCCCAGGGCGAGGGAUGGAGACUCAAAGCUGGGUGCAGGACUUUCUAAAGAAAGGCUCUCAGUCACCACAUCGCAGACGCUGCUCUCUGCCUUUUCCCCUUGGCCUGGUGUAGACGGAGAAGGUUCCCCAAAGGCCUCCUGGGCCCAGAGGUGGGGCUUUUGGAAGAGGAUUAAAUGAGGUCAAAAUGUCUGACUUCCGGCUGGGAGGUGGGGCCUGGGUGGAAGGGGCGUGGCCUGGGGGCGGGGUCUAGAAGGGUCGGUCUUCCCACCUGGCUCCUCUCUUCUCCCUCUGCUUCCUGUAUGCCAUACCCAGAGCAGCUCUCUUCCGCAAGACCCUUCCACCACCCUGCCCUGCUGUGGAGGCAGCCAACCCUGAAAUGAAAAUAUGAACCUUUAAGUUGUGAGAGUCAGAUAUUUUUUCCCAGCAACAAGAUAGUGACUAAGACACCCACUGAGUUAAAUGUGAGAGUUUUGGCGUGUUCAAGGUUAACUUUUGUACAGAAAAUGUAAUUCAGAAAUUUACUUUAAAGAAGCUUUUAAAAGUCGCCUUCAUUUUAUCAAAGCUGCAAAUUUGAAUAACUAAUUCUUUAUAUUUCAGUUUUGCUUAUAAGAUUGCUACAUUGUAGCACUUCCUUUUACCAAGCCUUUGAUUAGCAUAAGUAAAUGUUAAACACCUUUGGCUAUUUUAAGCUGCUUGUAUGAAUUUAGCAUGGUUGAUUUUCUUCAAGAACACUUCAGUGAUUUGAUUAGUAAGCCAAAGUUUCCCACUUACUCAAUUAUUUAAGAUAUUAACUUUAUAAGCAGAGAUUCUUAAAUUCUUUUAGAUUUGCCAGUAUUGCAAAAAAUUUAGUAACAUGUCUCUGUAACAUCCCAAGUCUAAAUCAAUUAGUCAAUUUCAAAUAACUGAUAAAAUCAGACAGGCCUUUUGUUGUAAUGAUCCAAAUGAUGAAUAUUUUUAAAACUCCAAAUAUUCCUAAACUGUUUAACUUGAAAAUAGUAAGACUACUGGUUUGAUGCCUUAAAAUUUCUGUGUGUGAUUCUGAGUGUCUGUGGGGUUCAGAAGACCUGUGGAGUGACCCCCUAAAGGGAGUGGGGAGGGUACUGGCGUGUCCCCAGACUGCAGCUACACUGACCGUCUGUACUGGGCAGGCGGCCACAUGGAUUGUUUUUGACCCACGUUUGAAUAUGCUGUGCCCAUUCCUGUUGGGUAAAAGGGUGGUUUUGUACACGAAUCCCUUAUUUUAAAGUUCUAAUGUUUUCUAAAGUUUUCACAACCCAGUAAUUUAAGCUGUGCCUAACUGAUUUUUCCAUCCCCUCUUGGUGUUUUUGUUUUGUUUUUGGUAUUGGGAGUUGAACUCGAGACCUUGAACUCGUGAGGCA